GGUUGUAUAGUGUAGUUGGUUAUCACAUCGGAUUCUGAUUUCAUCGUCAGAAUACUCUAAUUUCCUUCCGGGGACCCCGGUUCGAGUCCGGGUACGACCU
Molecule: non-coding RNA, 100 nt
Organism: Podospora conica
Lineage: Eukaryota; Fungi; Ascomycota; Sordariomycetes; Sordariales; Podosporaceae
Source: the annotation of a GenBank genome assembly